RNAcentral lists this ribosomal RNA (1940 nucleotides) under Salmonella enterica. RNAcentral's name for it is "partial 23S ribosomal RNA". It matches the Rfam family "Bacterial large subunit ribosomal RNA", at positions 881 to 2802 of the family's 2925-position model. Lineage: Bacteria; Pseudomonadati; Pseudomonadota; Gammaproteobacteria; Enterobacterales; Enterobacteriaceae. The record is from RNAcentral. RNAcentral also lists the same sequence under 1 other name.
CUCGUGAAUUCAUCUCCGGGGGUAGAGCACUGUUUCGGCUAGGGGGCCAUCCCGGCUUACCAACCCGAUGCAAACUGCGAAUACCGGAGAAUGUUAUCACGGGAGACACACGGCGGGUGCUAACGUCCGUCGUGAAGAGGGAAACAACCCAGACCGCCAGCUAAGGUCCCAAAGUCAUGGUUAAGUGGGAAACGAUGUGGGAAGGCCCAGACAGCCAGGAUGUUGGCUUAGAAGCAGCCAUCAUUUAAAGAAAGCGUAAUAGCUCACUGGUCGAGUCGGCCUGCGCGGAAGAUGUAACGGGGCUAAACCAUGCACCGAAGCUGCGGCAGCGACACUGUGUGUUGUUGGGUAGGGGAGCGUUCUGUAAGCCUGUGAAGGUGUGUCGUGAGGCAUGCUGGAGGUAUCAGAAGUGCGAAUGCUGACAUAAGUAACGAUAAAGCGGGUGAAAAGCCCGCUCGCCGGAAGACCAAGGGUUCCUGUCCAACGUUAAUCGGGGCAGGGUGAGUCGACCCCUAAGGCGAGGCCGAAAGGCGUAGUCGAUGGGAAACGGGUUAAUAUUCCCGUACUUGGUGUUACUGCGAAGGGGGGACGGAGAAGGCUAUGUUGGCCGGGCGACGGUUGUCCCGGUUUAAGCGUGUAGGUGUGUGUUCCAGGUAAAUCCGGUUCACUUUAACACUGAGGCGUGACGACGAGGCACUACGGUGCUGAAGCAACAAAUGCCCUGCUUCCAGGAAAAGCCUCUAAGCAUCAGGUAACAUCAAAUCGUACCCCAAACCGACACAGGUGGUCAGGUAGAGAAUACCAAGGCGCUUGAGAGAACUCGGGUGAAGGAACUAGGCAAAAUGGUGCCGUAACUUCGGGAGAAGGCACGCUGACACGUAGGUGAAGUGAUUUACUCAUGGAGCUGAAGUCAGUCGAAGAUACCAGCUGGCUGCAACUGUUUAUUAAAAACACAGCACUGUGCAAACACGAAAGUGGACGUAUACGGUGUGACGCCUGCCCGGUGCCGGAAGGUUAAUUGAUGGGGUCAGCGCAAGCGAAGCUCCUGAUCGAAGCCCCGGUAAACGGCGGCCGUAACUAUAACGGUCCUAAGGUAGCGAAAUUCCUUGUCGGGUAAGUUCCGACCUGCACGAAUGGCGUAAUGAUGGCCAGGCUGUCUCCACCCGAGACUCAGUGAAAUUGAACUCGCUGUGAAGAUGCAGUGUACCCGCGGCAAGACGGAAAGACCCCGUGAACCUUUACUAUAGCUUGACACUGAACAUUGAGCCUUGAUGUGUAGGAUAGGUGGGAGGCUUUGAAGUGUGGACGCCAGUCUGCAUGGAGCCGACCUUGAAAUACCACCCUUUAAUGUUUGAUGUUCUAACGUGGACCCGUUACCCGGGUUGCGGACAGUGUCUGGUGGGUAGUUUGACUGGGGCGGUCUCCUCCUAAAGAGUAACGGAGGAGCACGAAGGUUGGCUAAUCCUGGUCGGACAUCAGGAGGUUAGUGCAAUGGCAUAAGCCAGCUUGACUGCGAGCGUGACGGCGCGAGCAGGUGCGAAAGCAGGUCAUAGUGAUCCGGUGGUUCUGAAUGGAAGGGCCAUCGCUCAACGGAUAAAAGGUACUCCGGGGAUAACAGGCUGAUACCGCCCAAGAGUUCAUAUCGACGGCGGUGUUUGGCACCUCGAUGUCGGCUCAUCACAUCCUGGGGCUGAAGUAGGUCCCAAGGGUAUGGCUGUUCGCCAUUUAAAGUGGUACGCGAGCUGGGUUUAGAACGUCGUGAGACAGUUCGGUCCCUAUCUGCCGUGGGCGCUGGAGAACUGAGGGGGGCUGCUCCUAGUACGAGAGGACCGGAGUGGACGCAUCACUGGUGUUCGGGUUGUCAUGCCAAUGGCACUGCCCGGUAGCUAAAUGCGGAAGAGAUAAGUGCUGAAAGCAUCUAAGCACGAAACUUGCCCCGA